AAAAACUCCGGUGGUAUCCGAUGGAUCCGCGUCUGAUUAGCUUGUUGGCGGGGUAAAGGCCCACCAAGGCGACGAUCAGUAGCCGGCCUGAGAGGGUGAACGGCCACAUUGGGACUGAGACACGGCCCAAACUCCUACGGGAGGCAGCAGUGGGGAAUAUUGCACAAUGGGGGAAACCCUGAUGCAGCGACGCCGCGUGAGUGAAGAAGUAUUUCGGUACGUAAAGCUCUAUCAGCAGGGAAGAAAAUGACGGUACCUGACUAAGAAGCCCCGGCUAACUACGUGCCAGCAGCCGCGGUAAUACGUAGGGGGCAAGCGUUAUCCGGAUUUACUGGGUGUAAAGGGAGCGUAGACGGCAGCGCAAGUCUGAAGUGAAAUCCCAUGGCUUAACCAUGGAACUGCUUUGGAAACUGUGCAGCUGGAGUGCAGGAGAGGUAAGCGGAAUUCCUAGUGUAGCGGUGAAAUGCGUAGAUAUUAGGAGGAACACCAGUGGCGAAGGCGGCUUACUGGACUGUAACUGACGUUGAGGCUCGAAAGCGUGGGGAGCAAACAGGAUUAGAUACCCUGGUAGUCCACGCUGUAAACGAUGAUUACUAGGUGUUGGGGGACCAAGGUCCUUCG
RNAcentral lists this ribosomal RNA (621 nucleotides) under uncultured bacterium. RNAcentral's name for it is "bacterial SSU rRNA". It matches the Rfam family "Bacterial small subunit ribosomal RNA", at positions 202 to 842 of the family's 1533-position model. The record is from RNAcentral.